Molecule: ribosomal RNA, 660 nt
Filed under: uncultured archaeon
Lineage: Archaea
Description: bacterial SSU rRNA
Rfam family: Archaeal small subunit ribosomal RNA
Source: RNAcentral
CGUACGGCUCAGUAACACGUAGUCAACCUGCCCUGGAGACAUGGACAACCCCGGGAAACUGGGAUUAAUCCGUGAUAGGUCAUCCCAUCUGGAAGGAGGGAUGGCUUAAAGGGGUGCGCGGGCUUCUUCUGCGUAUUCGCUCCAGGAUGGGACUGCGUCCGAUCAGGCUGUUGGCGGGGUAAUGGCCCACCAAACCUGUAACCGGUACGGGCCUUGAGAGAGGUGGCCCGGAGAUGGACACUGAGAGAAGGGUCCAGGUCCUACGGGGCGCAGCAGGCGCGAAACCUUCGCAAUGCGCGAAAGCGUGACGAGGCUAGUCCGAGUGCUCCCUGCUAAAGGGAGCUUUUCUCGGCUGUAAAUAGGCCGGGGAAUAAGGGGAGGGCAAGUCUGGUGUCAGCCGCCGCGGUAAUACCAGCUCCUCGAGUGGUCGGGACGAUUAUUGGGCCUAAAGCACCCGUAGCCGGUUCCGUAAGUCCUCUGUUAAAUCCAGUCGCUCAACGGCUGGUCUGCAGAGGAUACUGCAGGACUAGGAGGCGGGAGAGGCGGACGGUACUCCGCGUGUAGGGGUAAAAUCCUUUGAUCCGCGGAAGACCACCAGUGGCGAAGGCGGUCCGCCAGAACGCGCUCGACGGUGAGGGGUGAAAGCUGGGGGAGCGAACC